UGUAAGAAUUAAUGGUCGAACAGACCAAAUUUUUAAACUUCUACACCUAAAAAUUAUCUUAAUCCAACAUCGAGGUCGCAAUCUCUUUUAUCGAUAUGUUCUCUCUAAAAAUAUUACGCUGUUAUCCCUUAAGUAACUUAAUCUUUUAAUCAUUAUUAAUGGAUCAAUUCAUUAAUUUAUGAAAAAAAGUUUAACAAAUUUUCCUAUCACCCCAAUAAAAUAUUAUAUUAAGCUUUAAAGGGUCUUCUCGUCCUUUAAAUUUAUUUAAGCUUUUUAACUUAAAAAUUAAUUUCUAUAACAAUUAAAAUGAGACAGUUGAUAUUUCAUUCAAUCAUUCAUUCCAGCUUCUAAUUAAGAAACUAUUGAUUAUGCUACCUUUGCACAGUCAAAAUACUGCGGCCUUUUUCAAUGGGCAGAUUAGACUUUAAAUU
Molecule: ribosomal RNA, 431 nt
Filed under: Peromyscopsylla himalaica
Lineage: Eukaryota; Metazoa; Arthropoda; Insecta; Siphonaptera; Leptopsyllidae
Description: partial 16S ribosomal RNA
Source: RNAcentral